AAAUAAAUAAAUAAAAUGAAACAAGUUAAAAAUAAAACGGGCAGAAUGUACACACUAGGGGUUGAACUCCUGACCUUGGGGUCAUGGGGGGAUCAACCCCCUCAUCCACUGGACCAUAAGCCCGGUUGUGUUAACAAACACGCGUUAACAGAAUAAAUAAUAAAAAUGAAAAACAAAAGAGAUUUGCGCGCCAGACAACCAAUCAGAGUGUGACAACCCUUUUGUUUGAAUUCAAAACACGCGCCAACGAUCAUCUUCAACCUUCGACUACUCAAA
This 276-nucleotide long non-coding RNA is filed under the name Lathyrus oleraceus (garden pea). RNAcentral describes it as "Pisum sativum (pea) long non-coding RNA (PSAT_LNC031466)". The record is from RNAcentral. Lineage: Eukaryota; Viridiplantae; Streptophyta; Magnoliopsida; Fabales; Fabaceae.